Molecule: transfer RNA, 70 nt
Filed under: Sympetrum baccha
Lineage: Eukaryota; Metazoa; Arthropoda; Insecta; Odonata; Libellulidae
Description: tRNA-Val
Source: RNAcentral
UCCAUAAAUGUAAGAUGUUCUUACAGAUAGUACUUGCAGAUUAAUGAUUUAAUUUUAUUAUUAUUAGAAG